RNAcentral lists this ribosomal RNA (322 nucleotides) under uncultured Actinomycetes bacterium. RNAcentral describes it as "bacterial SSU rRNA". It matches the Rfam family "Bacterial small subunit ribosomal RNA", at positions 28 to 351 of the family's 1533-position model. The record is from RNAcentral. Lineage: Bacteria; Bacillati; Actinomycetota; Actinomycetes.
GACGAACGCUGGCGGCGUGCUUAACACAUGCAAGUCGAACGGUGACGGAGAGCUUGCUCUCCUGAUCAGUGGCGAACGGGUGAGUAACACGUGGGCAACCUGCCCCAGACUUCGGGAUAACGCUUCGAAAGAGGUGCUAAUACCGGAUACGAACUCCUUGGGCAUCCUUGGAGUUGGAAAGUUUUUCGGUCUGGGAUGGGCCCGCGGCCUAUCAGCUAGUUGGUGAGGUAACGGCUCACCAAGGCGACGACGGGUAGCCGGCCUGAGAGGGCGACCGGCCACACUGGGACUGAGACACGGCCCAGACUCCUACGGGAGGCAG